This 845-nucleotide long non-coding RNA is filed under the name Gallus gallus (chicken). Its description in RNAcentral is "lncRNA (ENSGALG00010020980.1)". The record is from RNAcentral. Lineage: Eukaryota; Metazoa; Chordata; Aves; Galliformes; Phasianidae.
GCCGGGGAUGUUGCCAGCAGUGGGCAGGGGCAUUGGGGGGAGGCAUACCCGGCUUCAUCCCGCCGGGUAGGAGCUGGAGGAGGGGUAACUGCCUCUCCCCGGGUGGCAGAUGACCCACAAUUGUGUACAGCCCCUCAGGUGUGAGCUGAACCACAAUUGGGGGCACCUCCUGAGGUGGGAGCUGACCCACUGUUGGGGGCACCUCCUGAGGUGGGAGCGGGCCCACAGUUGCGGGUACACCCUGAGGUGGGAGCUGACCCACAGUUUGGGGCAUUGCCCCAGCUGUCAGCUGAAUCACAUUUUCAGGCUUUGCCCCUGGUGGCACCUGCACUACAGGUGGGGGCAUUGCCCCAGUUGGGAGCUGACCCACAGUUGGGGGCACCACCUGAGGUGGGAGCGGACCCACAGUUUGGGGCAUUGCCUCAGCUGGCAGCUGAAGCACAGUUGGGGGCAUUGCCCCAGGUGGUGGGAGCUGAGCCACCAUGGAGAGCAUCCCCUGUGGUGGGAUCAGAUCCACCAUUGGGACUACCCCCUGAGGUGGGAGCUGACCCCCAUUAUAGGGCAUUGCCCCAAGGGGCAGCUCAACCAUAGUUUGGGGCAUUGCCCCAGGUGGCAGCUGAGCCACAACUGGGGGCAUUGCCCCAGGUGGCAGCUGAAGCACAGUUUGAGGCAUCGCCCCAGGUGGCAGCUGCGCUCCCUGUCCCUGCACACCCGGUACCCCCGGCUGGACAGAGGCCUGAGGCACCAUGGAGGUGACAUUGGGGGCAGGGAUGGGCUGGAAGGAUACGGGCACUGCUCCGCCAAUGGUGGUCUUCAUUGCAGCAGUGGCCGGUGGGGGCACAAAG